This 274-nucleotide ribosomal RNA is filed under the name uncultured bacterium. RNAcentral's name for it is "partial 16S ribosomal RNA". It matches the Rfam family "Bacterial small subunit ribosomal RNA", at positions 523 to 796 of the family's 1533-position model. The record is from RNAcentral.
AUACGGAGGGUACAAGCGUUAUUCGGAAUCACUGGGCGUAAAGGACGCGUAGGCGGCUAUUUAAGUUGGAUGUGAAAGCCUAUGGCUCAACCAUAGAACUGCAUCCAAAACUAUUUAGCUAGAGUGUGGGAGAGGAAGAUGGAAUUAGUUGUGUAGGGGUAAAAUCCGUAGAGAUAACUAGGAAUACCAAAAGCGAAGGCAAUCUUCUGGAACACUACUGACGCUGAGGCGCGAAAGCGUGGGGAGCAAACAGGAUUAGAAACCCUUGUAGUCC